GUAUGGGGAUCUGCCCGAUAGAGGGGGAUAACUACUGGAAACGGUGGCUAAUGCCGCAUAAUGUCUACGGACCAAAGCAGGGGCUCUUCGGACCUUGCACUAUCGGAUGAACCCAUAUGGGAUUAGCUAGUAGGUGGGGUAAAGGCUCACCUAGGCGACGAUCUCUAGCUGGUCUGAGAGGAUGAUCAGCCACACUGGGACUGAGACACGGCCCAG
Molecule: ribosomal RNA, 216 nt
Filed under: uncultured bacterium
Lineage: Bacteria
Description: partial 16S ribosomal RNA
Rfam family: Bacterial small subunit ribosomal RNA
Source: RNAcentral